Long non-coding RNA from Chelonia mydas (Green sea turtle), 993 nucleotides. RefSeq lists it as uncharacterized. Lineage: Eukaryota; Metazoa; Chordata; Testudines; Cheloniidae. The record is from RefSeq and is a predicted model, not a curated record. The transcript is spliced from 2 exons.
AGAGUCUCUCUCUAGCCUUGGAGGCAGAAGGACUUAGCUGCCUGGGAAUAAGAAACUUGAAGCAGAGCCGUGCUGGGGAAGGGCAAGAGGAGCUGGGGAGCUCAAGCCUGGCAACUCCCCAGGCUGAGGCCUUGACAAAGGCCUAUGCAGGUGACAUACAGUCAGUUUCAGCCUGCUAUAUCUACCCAUUCCCAAGGAGUGGAGUCAUAGAGGUUGCAGCACACAUCUGCUAUAUAUGCCAAUCAGCAUCUGGAGAAUGAAUUCCCAGAAGACACUGAACAUCCUUCAAUUACUUCUUGAGCACCUUCACUGACAGCUUAGGUGAGGGAAAAGGAAGCUUGCUAACUGUCUGAGAGACAGCUGUUGAAGUCUUAAUGGGCCAAAGAGUCAGUAACUGAUCUCUUUUUGGCAACUGACAACUGUUGAUAAGAGCUCAACCUGGCAGAGGAAAUGAAAGCAGGGCACAUUGGACUGCAGAACUCUCCACCAAACCCAAGUCUCAGGUUACCCACCAACCUCUGCCAAACACUCCCCACGCUUCAGAAGUGUUUCUAUCACUUCCUUAUUCACCAGAAUAUCUUCCCUUUAUUCCAGACAAGUUGUGUCUACCCAGAAAACAUCACUGAAUGUCAGAAAUAAUGUUUUAAAGCCAUGUCCUGCCUUUUUAAAUGCACACUGCUACAGGAUAGAAAACAAGCACUUGGACAAGAAGUGAAGAGAGACAAUCUAUUAAAGGAAAAUGACUGUGGAAAAAAUUGGACCCUCUCAAACACUCUUACAUAAACUAAUGUGGAGCCUUUAGCCACGAUGAAUCAUUGCUCUGUUUAUGUAUGCUACCAAUAGGAAGAUUUAGGAUCCCAAGUUGUUUCACAAAGUCAGCCUUAUUCCAUUUAAUCUUCAUCAGUGCUUCUGUCUUCCAUCUUCUCUUCAAAGUGUUUAAUGAAAAAGAAAAUGUAUAAUCAGAUAAUUUUCAAGAAUUAUUUUUGCUAUUAA